RNAcentral lists this ribosomal RNA (433 nucleotides) under uncultured bacterium. Its description in RNAcentral is "partial 16S ribosomal RNA". It matches the Rfam family "Bacterial small subunit ribosomal RNA", at positions 29 to 507 of the family's 1533-position model. The record is from RNAcentral.
AACGAACGCUGGCGGCAUGCCUAACACAUGCAAGUCGAACGAGACCUUCGGGUCUAGUGGCGCACGGGUGCGUCACGCGUGGGAACCUGCCCUUAGGUUCGGAAUAACUCCCCGACAGGGGUGCUAAUACCGGAUAAUGUAUUCUGACCAAAGAUUUAUCGACUUUGGAUGGGCACGCGUUGGUUUAGCUAGUUGGUAGGGUAAAAGCCUACCAAGGCGACGCUCCAUAGCUGGUCUGAGAGGAUGAUCAGCCACACUGGGACUGGGACACGGCCCAGACUCCUACGGGAGGCAGCAGUGGGGAAUAUUGGACAAUGGGGUAAAGGCUGAUCCAGCAAUGCCGCGUGAGUGAUGAAGGCCUUAGAGUUGUAAAGCUCUUUUACCCGGGAUGAUAAUGACGGUACCGGGAGAAUAAGCACCGGCUAACUCCGUG